This 930-nucleotide ribosomal RNA is filed under the name Triticum aestivum (bread wheat). RNAcentral's name for it is "partial small subunit ribosomal RNA". Lineage: Eukaryota; Viridiplantae; Streptophyta; Magnoliopsida; Poales; Poaceae. The record is from RNAcentral.
AUGCAUCCGGUACCCGGUCACCACGUCCUCCGUCACGGUGUCGUACACCCAGCCGAUCUCUUUGCCCCAGCCGGUCUUCUUCUCGAACGCCGCGGCCGUCACGUUCACCGCCUCCACGAUGGUCGCCUCGUCGGCCACGAUGCCCUCAGCCGCCGCGGCGUAAGGCGACGGGUGCGACGCGCGCGGGAUGCUGUCCACGAAGGCGUCCGACUUGCCGUACGUCUUCUUGGGCAGAGGCAGGAAGCCGUGCUUGCCCUUGGCGGGCACCGGCGCGGCCUUGGCCUUGGCCAUGGUCAUCUCGAGGCCGGGCUUCUCGUACUUGGUCUUGGCGAAGAGCCCGGCGAGCCUGGGGAAGCAGGGCCCGCCGACGUUGAUCCUGGGCGGGUCGAAGCCGUAGACGGUGAUGCGGCGGAAGAGACAGCCGGUGCCGACGUAGAUGGGGCCCUGCAUGCCGUCGAGGGCACGGAGGGUGCCGUCGAAGAAGAUGCGGUUGUGGUUGGCGUAGAGGUCGGUGGGGUCGACGCCCUCGAAGCGCUGCGGGAACUGGACGAAGGCGACGGUGUCGCUGUCGCGUCCCACCAUGAAGCAGAUGCCGGCGCGGAGGGCCUGGGAGUUGUUGAUGUAAUGGUCGCAGUCGAGGUUGAGGAUGAAGGGGGAGUUGGAGAGCAGCGCGGAGGCGCGGGUGAGCGCGUUCAUGGCGCCGGCCUUCUUCUGGUGGUCGUGUCCGGGGCGCUUCUCACGGGACACGUACACCAGCAUGGGGAGACGCACAUCCACGCCGCUGAAGUCCAGUGGGUUGUCAGCGCUCGCCGGCGGGCCCGUCUGCCGGCGGUGGCUCGGGUGGUUCAGCAGCACCUGCAUCCAUUGCACACACACCAUUGUCAGCACUCCAUUCCUCUUGCAGUACAAUCACAACUUGAGCUUAGGUAG